Molecule: ribosomal RNA, 497 nt
Filed under: uncultured bacterium
Lineage: Bacteria
Description: partial 16S ribosomal RNA
Rfam family: Bacterial small subunit ribosomal RNA
Source: RNAcentral
GAUGGACGCUGGCGGCGUGCCUAAUACAUGCAAGUCGAGCGAACGGACGAGAAGCUUGCUUCUCUGAUGUUAGCGGCGGACGGGUGAGUAACACGUGGAUAACCUACCUAUAAGACUGGGAUAACUUCGGGAAACCGGAGCUAAUACCGGAUAAUAUAUUGAACCGCAUGGUUCAAUAGUGAAAGACGGUUUUGCUGUCACUUAUGGAUGGAUCCGCGCCGCAUUAGCUAGUUGGUAAGGUAACGGCUUACCAAGGCAACGAUGCGUAGCCGACCUGAGAGGGUGAUCGGCCACACUGGAACUGAGACACGGUCCAGACCCCUACGGGAGGCAGCAGUAGGGAAUCUUCCGCAAUGGGCGAAAGCUUGACGGAGCAACGCCGCGUGAGUGAUGAAGGUCUUCGGAUCGUAAAACUCUGUUAUUAGGGAAGAACAAAUGUGUAAGUAACUAUGCACGUCUUGACGGUACCUAAUCAGAAAGCCACGGCUAACUACGUG